RNAcentral lists this unclassified non-coding RNA (239 nucleotides) under rhizosphere metagenome. RNAcentral describes it as "partial ribosomal RNA internal transcribed spacer region". The record is from RNAcentral.
GUAGGUGAACCUGCGGAAGGAUCAUUACAAAUCCAAACAACAAUUACCCGUUGAAAUGUUCUCGGCCUUGGUUGUAGCACCACACAUGUGUCUUUGUAUACAUAUGCUGCAUGCCGUGUAAAAUGGAAGUGUCUUCAUUUCCACCCAAGGUCCGAUCUUAAUAAUAACGUUAUUUAUAAUGGCCAUACGUAAUGUGUGACUAAUUAAAACAACUUUUAACAAUGGAUCUCUAGGCUCUU